CCUACGGGGGGCAGCAGUGAGGAAUAUUGGUCAAUGGACGAGAGUCUGAACCAGCCAAGUAGCGUGAAGGAUGACAGCCCUAUGGGUUGUAAACUUCUUUUAUAAAGGAAUAAAACGAGCCACGUGUGCCUUUUUGCAUGUACUUUAUGAAUAAGGAUCGGCUAAUUCCGUGCCAGCAGCCGCGGUAAUACGGAGGAUCCGAGCGUUAUCCGGAUUUAUUGGGUUUAAAGGGAGCGUAGAUGGUUUGUUAAGUCAGUUGUGAAAUUUUGCGGCUCAACCGUAAAAUUGCAAUGAAUACUGGCAGUUUUGAGUACAGUUGAGGUAGGCGGAAUUGUGGGUGUAGCGGUGAAAUGCUUAGAUAUCACGAAGAACCCCGAUUGCGAAGGCAGCUUACUAAGCUGUGACUGACAUUGAUGCUCGAAAGUGUGGGUAUCAAACAGGAUUAGAUACCCUUGUGUC
RNAcentral lists this ribosomal RNA (459 nucleotides) under uncultured bacterium. Its description in RNAcentral is "partial 16S ribosomal RNA". It matches the Rfam family "Bacterial small subunit ribosomal RNA", at positions 338 to 795 of the family's 1533-position model. The record is from RNAcentral.